GAAGUCCCUACACAAGAUUUAUGGUGUUAGCAAAGUCUAUAAAGAGAUAUAUAUAAUGGUAAAAUUUUUACGAAGACAAAAACUAACCCCGUUGCGCAUCCGAUACGCCUUCAACUCGACAGAAUCGCCUACAUUCGAGGGCAUCCCAAAGUCGAAAAAGCUGUUGAGAUCGAGGGCGAAAUUGUUGAAUCCCAGGGGAUCAGUUUAAUCAGAGCCACUCCAGCUGGCCUGGCCAUCAAGGAAGUUACAGAAUAACUCAUCCGACGGAUACUCCAGCCUAUCGACAUCACCAUUGUCAUAGUCUUCUACAACAAUUAGCUUGUUCUUACGAGAUCUUGACCUCUCCCUUUCACCAGGAAUGUCAUAGGGAACAAACUCCUCCAUAUCCGUUUCC
RNAcentral lists this long non-coding RNA (394 nucleotides) under Brassica napus (rape). Its description in RNAcentral is "long non-coding RNA (BNAP_LNC019199)". Lineage: Eukaryota; Viridiplantae; Streptophyta; Magnoliopsida; Brassicales; Brassicaceae. The record is from RNAcentral.